GCCAAUAGGGUGAAGGCAUGUCUACCGUAUCAAAUGGCCCUCAUAUUGAUAUUCAGAGAGUUCAGUGUAGCCCUUAAGGGGGAGACCAUUCAAGUUUUGAUGCACUUGGAUACCUAUAACGAAUGGUCCUUCAUCAUAUGGGGUACCAUAAGUUGGAUGGUAGAUGGGUUUAUAUAGAUAAAAUAUAGGCAGGAUAGAGUAAGAGAAAAAGAUGUGGUUGGGCCUAGUAGAGCACAACCAGUUUCAGAGCCUCUACCACU
This 260-nucleotide long non-coding RNA is filed under the name Elaeis guineensis (African oil palm). Its description in RNAcentral is "long non-coding RNA (EGUI_LNC032818)". The record is from RNAcentral. Lineage: Eukaryota; Viridiplantae; Streptophyta; Magnoliopsida; Arecales; Arecaceae.